UCGCCUUCACCUCCACAAGUUCCCAUUUAUAUUUUUCGUUACGUUCCUUGUAUGCUUCACAAUUCCAUUAUGCUCUCCAUUUUCUAUCUUCCACCUCCUUCAGUUUCUCCCUCAUUUCUGUAAUAAUUCUAUCUCCCUCCUUUUGUAUUCUCUCCUGGAAUAACCACAUAUUAUGAAACUUUUUAUCUUCCACCUCCUUCAGUUUCUCCCUCAUUUCUGUAAAAUUCUAUCUCCCUCCUUUUGUAUUCUCUCCUGGAAUAACCACAUAUUAUGAAAAUCCUGUAAUCCCUUCCUGUAACUUUCCAGAAAACAUUGUUCCUCAACCCAUUCAUCAAAUUCACCAGUAGGUUCGUCGGGUUGCUUGUACAUCGUGUUCAUACUACACCAGUAGCGGCGUCCAGUGUCGGUACCUUCCCACCCACAAUCCAGC
Molecule: long non-coding RNA, 430 nt
Filed under: Nicotiana benthamiana
Lineage: Eukaryota; Viridiplantae; Streptophyta; Magnoliopsida; Solanales; Solanaceae
Description: long non-coding RNA (NBEN_LNC024246)
Source: RNAcentral